Molecule: long non-coding RNA, 802 nt
Filed under: Vombatus ursinus (common wombat)
Lineage: Eukaryota; Metazoa; Chordata; Mammalia; Diprotodontia; Vombatidae
Description: lncRNA (ENSVURG00010002334.1)
Source: RNAcentral
CAUUCAUUUGAAAAAAAAUUUGAGUUUCAAAUUCUCUCCCUCCCCCACCUUUUGAGAAGGCAAGCAAUCUGAAUCAUGCAAAACGUAUUUCUAUAUUAGCCAUUUUACAAAAGAAAACAGAAAAAAAACCAAGAAAAAUACGGUUCAGUCUGCCCUUAGCUUAUCAGUUCUCACUCUUCCUGGGUCCGAUGAAGUUAUCUUGGGGCGUGGUCUUGGUCAGAGCAGCUGAGUCUUGCAUACUUGGUCCUCCUUGCACUACUACCGUCAGUGUACAGUGUUCUCUGUUUCUGUUUGCCUCGCUUUGCAUCAGUUCUUCCAAGUCGUCCCGGGCUUUCCCGAAGCCAUCCUGCUCGUCGUUUCUUACGGCACAACCAUAUUCCAUCACACACACCCCACGACUCGUUCCGCCGUUCCCUGGCUGUCGGGCUUCAGGUGGAGGCUGUGCUACAGAACGAGGAAGGGGACCAGUUUUUACUCUGGUCAGCCUGGUUGUUUCUCCAUUUCUGACGUUCCCCGAAGGAGACGCUGAGGAUUGGUUGACAAAUCAGAUGUGUGGUGCACGGACGUUUCCAGCAAGGUCAACUGGAAGACUCAUGUCCAGAGUGGAGACAGCUUGCCCCAACAGGCAGAGGUGAAGCUGGCUCCGGAGACGCAUCGGGCAGAGGGUGGUGGCGCCAAGCUUGGUGGAGCCCAGUUAAAUCUGGCACAUCUGUCCCAGGCCUCCUGAUGGUUGGAAGGUAAGGCUCCCACCAUCCUGUUAUGUGGCUUAGAAAGGGAAGCAGCUUGGCCAAAGUCACACAGU